AGGAGACUAUGUUCUGGCUGUUCAUGUGCAGGAAUCAGAUGAUACAUUUGAUCCUAACACCUUUUACAUCCAUGAAGAUCUCUGCAAGUCUAAGCAGGUGAGCUUUUUUGACCAUUUAGACAACAUAGUUGAGUUAAAUUUCUGAGAACUUUUGAUGCCCUGAUUGUUAGGAUGUUUGAUACCUUUGGUUGAUGACAUGCUCAGGUGGAUUUUGAAGUCAAGGUUUGUCCACGAAACUGUUACAUUGCUGAAUUAAGCCACCAAGUUCGAAUAAAUUUUGCAACAAUUCUUGCAGUGGGAUGCACAAGUCUGUGGUAUGGCCAUCAUCUAUAUUUCAUAUGGUAAUUCAAAAUAAAUUCUGCAUUUUUUGCUCUAAACAGUUAUUGUUUUCAGGCCAAAAGAUUCAACAAUUGCAAAAUGUUUGAAAGCAUUACCUCCCACUUGCACCCUUCUAGUAAUGGAUAAUGGAGGAAAAAUCUUAUUCCAGAAAGAGGGAUCUUCCCAGGAAGGAUCUUCUAUUAAACUUCUUA
RNAcentral lists this long non-coding RNA (530 nucleotides) under Olea europaea (common olive). Its description in RNAcentral is "long non-coding RNA (OEUR_LNC011589)". Lineage: Eukaryota; Viridiplantae; Streptophyta; Magnoliopsida; Lamiales; Oleaceae. The record is from RNAcentral.